This 468-nucleotide ribosomal RNA is filed under the name uncultured bacterium. RNAcentral's name for it is "partial 16S ribosomal RNA". It matches the Rfam family "Bacterial small subunit ribosomal RNA", at positions 28 to 507 of the family's 1533-position model. The record is from RNAcentral.
GACGAACGCUGGCGGCGUGCUUAACACAUGCAAGUCGAACGGAAAGGCCCUGCUUUUGUGGGGUGCUCGAGUGGCGAACGGGUGAGUAACACGUGAGUAACCUGCCCUUUACUUUGGGAUAACUUCAGGAAACUGGGGCUAAUACCGGAUAGGAGCUCCUGCUGCAUGGUGGGGGUUGGAAAGUUUCGGCGGUUGGGGAUGGACUCGCGGCUUAUCAGCUUGUUGGUGGGGUAGUGGCUUACCAAGGCUUUGACGGGUAGCCGGCCUGAGAGGGUGACCGGCGACAUUGGGACUGAGAUACGGCCCAGACUCCUACGGGAGGCAGCAGUGGGGAAUAUUGCACAAUGGGCGGAAGCCUGAUGCGGCGACGCCGCGUGCGGGAUGACGGCCUUCGGGUUGUAAACCGCUUUCGCCUGUGACGAAGCGUGAGUGACGGUAAUGGGUAAAGAAGCACCGGCUAACUACGUG